Molecule: unclassified non-coding RNA, 289 nt
Filed under: Hevea brasiliensis (rubber tree)
Lineage: Eukaryota; Viridiplantae; Streptophyta; Magnoliopsida; Malpighiales; Euphorbiaceae
Source: RNAcentral
GGAAUUUCGUAAAGGUUGUUGUGAAUUUUGUGAUUUUGAAGGAAAUUGUUCGUUCGGAAGUACCGAAUUCUGAAUUCUCUGUUUGAUAAUUCUGCGUUGUUCGAGAAAAGUGGUUAUUGCGUUGUUAUAUUUCAUGCGAAAAUUCUGAAAAAUUUUAGCCGCAUUUGGUGAUUUCUGUGAUUGUAUGGACAAUUUUGAAAUCUGGUUAGAGAUCUGUUGGCUUUUGUUGUUCAGAGUACUGCUUGAAAGAUUUAAGAGACUUUAAAAGGCUUGUUUCUGUUGAUCAUUU